RNAcentral lists this ribosomal RNA (497 nucleotides) under uncultured bacterium. RNAcentral's name for it is "partial 16S ribosomal RNA". It matches the Rfam family "Bacterial small subunit ribosomal RNA", at positions 28 to 507 of the family's 1533-position model. The record is from RNAcentral.
GAUGAACGCUGGCGGCGUGCCUAAUACAUGCAAGUCGAGCGAACAGAUGAGGAGCUUGUUCCUCUGACGUUAGCGGCGGACGGGUGAGUAACACGUGGAUAACCUACCUAUAAGACUGGGAUAACUUCGGGAAACCGGAGCUAAUACCGGAUAAUAUGUUGAACCGCAUGGUUCAAUAGUGAAAGACGGUUUUGCUGUCACUUAUAGAUGGAUCCGCGCCGCAUUAGCUAGUUGGUAAGGUAACGGCUUACCAAGGCAACGAUGCGUAGCCGACCUGAGAGGGUGAUCGGCCACACUGGAACUGAGACACGGUCCAGACUCCUACGGGAGGCAGCAGUAGGGAAUCUUCCGCAAUGGGCGAAAGCCUGACGGAGCAACGCCGCGUGAGUGAUGAAGGUCUUCGGAUCGUAAAACUCUGUUAUUAGGGAAGAACAAAUGUGUAAGUAACUAUGCACGUCUUGACGGUACCUAAUCAGAAAGCCACGGCUAACUACGUG